RNAcentral lists this long non-coding RNA (426 nucleotides) under Ananas comosus (pineapple). Its description in RNAcentral is "long non-coding RNA (ACOM_LNC032950)". The record is from RNAcentral. Lineage: Eukaryota; Viridiplantae; Streptophyta; Magnoliopsida; Poales; Bromeliaceae.
UUUUAAUAAAUUUAUAAUUUUUUUAUUAUUAAUAAAUUUAUAAUUUUUAAAAUUCUACUUAAACUUAAAUUUAAUAAAAAUAAUAUUUUAUAAUAUUUAAAUAUAAUUUAUUAUAAAAUGUAUUAUAAUAUUUAAUAUUUAAAUAUAAAUAAUAUGUAUUAAUAUAGUACAAUUAAUAAUUUUAUAAUAAAAAUAAUAUAUUAUAAUAUAUAACAUAUUAUAUUUAUAUAAUUUAGUUUUAAUUUAAUUUAUAAUUUUAAUAAAGUUUGAAACUAAAUAUUAGAAUAACACUAUUCCAUCAAAAUGGUGGAAUAAUAAAUUCUAAGCUAUUUCGGGAUAGCCGGGAAUAGCAAGAUUUGACCGGAAUAAAAUAAGCCGGCCAAAAAUUGUUUCGUUUGGUAAAAUAGCGGGGAUAACUUUGGUUAU